UGGGGAAUUUUACGCAAUAGGGGAAACCCUGACGUAGCGACACCGCGUGAGCGAAGAAGCCUUUUGGGGUGUAAAGCUCUGUCAGCUGGAACGAACACAAUGACGGUACCAGCAGAGGAAGCAUCGGCUAACUACGUGCCAGCAGCCGCGGUAAAACGUAGGAGGCUAGCGUUAUCCGGAUUUACUGGGCGUAAAGCGCAUGCAGGUGGUUUUGUAAGUUGGAUGUGAAAGCUCCUGGCUUAACUGGGAGAGGUCGUUCAAAACUACAAGACUUGAGAUUGGUAGAGGAAAAUGGAAUUCCGGGUGUAGUGGUGAAAUGCGUAGAUAUCCGGAGGAACACCAGUGGCGAAAGCGGUUUUCUGGACCAAUUCUGACACUCAGAUGCGAAAGCUAAGGUAGCAAACG
This 405-nucleotide ribosomal RNA is filed under the name uncultured bacterium. Its description in RNAcentral is "bacterial SSU rRNA". It matches the Rfam family "Bacterial small subunit ribosomal RNA", at positions 355 to 774 of the family's 1533-position model. The record is from RNAcentral.